Molecule: long non-coding RNA, 9074 nt
Filed under: Solanum tuberosum (potato)
Lineage: Eukaryota; Viridiplantae; Streptophyta; Magnoliopsida; Solanales; Solanaceae
Description: long non-coding RNA (STUB_LNC002479)
Source: RNAcentral
CUUGCUUCGAUCGAAUGAUGAAGAUGGUUUUUUUUUUCUUUUGCGGGGUUCUUUUGCUACAAAUGGUUGUAAAUAUGUAGGAAGAUAUUUUCUUUCAAAUUUUGACUUUUUUAAGGUCGUGCAGCACAUACAUGUAAGGGCACCGAUAUUGCCAUCUUUUUAGCUUCUCGCAGAUAUGAGGAAUGCUGUUUCUUUGUCAGUACAGUUAUUAGUUAAUUAACAUGAUGCAAUAAAUUGGCCAACCUAGCUGAGGGCCUCAAAGCUGCAUGAUUUUGGGGGCCUAACUAUUUGAAGUUUUGUCUUUGUAUAAAUCACAAGUUACAGGUCUCUUGUCCCGAACAAAAUUCUACUUGGGAGUUGAAAAAAGUGAGUGAUGAUUUAGGGUAGGAUAUGAUCACCAUCUUUUACUGUUAUCCUUUUAUAUCUUUGUAAAUGUCUUGAUAUAUGGGGCAUCAUAUGUUAAAGACUUAAAUCUUAAUAAAGAAAUAAUAAAAAAAUGAAAUUCUGUUUGAAAUGCUUAGUUUAGGGGUCUAAAGUAGUUGGGUUGGAUUAUUAAAUUUAUAAAUCAAAUCAAAUUAAUAAACUCGGGCUUCUCAACCUUAGAAUUUUAUGGGAUUUUGAAUAUCUUUUUUUUCAUUUGUACAAAUAUAUAAUUGAUUGGUACUCCAAAUAUUGAGAUGAGUGAUAUUCAGCAAAAGAUAAUAAUGAAAUUGCAUAAAAUAACUUUUACAAAUUAUCAAAUAAUAUCAUAAUUCAGAAGUACUAAAUCAUAUUAAAAUUGUUAAUAAGUAUUAACAACAUGAUUAAACAUCAAGGAAAAGUAAAAUGUCUGAACCAAUGUAAAACUAAAGAAUAAAUAUCAAUAUUAUUGUCAUAUUGAGUGUUGAAUUAUUAUUGUUUUGUUAGCAUUGGUAUUGAUUUGAUUUUGAUUUGAGCUUUAUUAGAGUUACUAAUAUCUAUGCACUAUAAAAAAAUUUCAACGAUUCAAAAUUCUAAGUCUAAAAAACUUGAAGUAAUAUGUUAAUUGUUAAAAGAUAAAAAAUAUUUAGAAAAUAUAUCAAAGUAUAAGAAAUAUUUAGAACAUAUGUCAAGAUAAAUUUUCCCCACCUAGUGGGAUUUUCACUGGGUAUGUUGUUGUUGUUGUUGUCAAGAUAAAUUUUAAAAAAUUAGAUAUAUAGCGUCGGUUGAUUUUUUUUAGUGUUAAUCAACGUGAUCCAGGUAUAGUCGAUUUCUUUUUUCUCAAUACCAAACCAAAUUGAAGUUUUUCUUCAAACAUAAUUUGUGAUUUGAUUUGAUUUUUGGUUCUGUUUUGUACUUCCCUACUCGGGGCAAUUCUUUAUACAUUAUUCGUGGAAAAUAUAUUACUCGACAUAUCAAACUUGUCCAGUAUUCAUUCUCAUUUCAACCCAUCAAAAGAAUGUGGGUUGAAGAAAAAGCAUCACAUAACGCACCAUAUAGGAAGGAAAACAACACUAACAUCAGAGUCAUUGACAUAAUCAGUAAAUAAACAUAAACUUCAAGACAAAAGACUAUACAAAAAUUGUUAAUACUAGAGGAGAAUCAAUAGUAUCCCAAGCCUAAUACAUAAGAAAUUCAGAUAAUACUCACCUAACUAGCCUAAGUAACUUUUAGAGGGAUCAUACAUUUUGACUUGUUAAUUUCUGAGUGAAUUAAAAAUUUGCUUAUUUAUUAAUUUAAUUCAUUUUGAUUUAUCAAAUUCAACCCAACCUGUUUAUCUGUCACCUCUAAAUUAGUGUGAUUGAUAUUGAUUCAAUGUAGUUGAUGAAAUAAACCUAAUGCAAUAUAAAAUUACGUGUUGUUUUAUUGAGUGUUUAGUAUAUGUUUUAAAUAUUAUAUAGAUAAUUUAUGUAACUCUGAUAUAAUAUCUUCUUUGAUUUCAGAAAUAAUUUAAUUAUUAUCCGAGUGUAUUGAAAGAAGAACCUUCAAUUUUCAGUAAAUAUAUUGAUGUAAAAAUACUACAAGAUAAAUUAAAUCUAUAAUAAUAAUACAAGUUUGUAGGUAGUCCAAGUGACCAAGCCAAAUUGACUACAAGGAUCUAGCAAGUCCAACGAUAAUCUCAUAUGUCACAAAAUGCUCAAAAAUAGUCAAUUGAAAAAUUAUGCUUUCUUUUAAAUAAAAUAAAAUAAAAGUUAAGAACCUACUAUCCAAAAACUGAUUUUAAGUGCGAAAAAUGAUUGUCAUUAAUUUGUUUUUUUUUCUCAACAAACUGGUAUAUAAUUUUGUACUAUAAUAUUGAAUAACAAAUAUGGAUUUAACAUCAUAAGAUGGAAGUAAAAAAUAAAUAUGUAAGAUUAUAACUACACUUCUAUAUCAAAAUAUAUGCUAGUAAUGACUUUACUGUUAGAACCAACCUGUGGAAAGACCUCACCACCCUUUCGAGCAACAUCAAUGGGGACUGGUUGAUAGGGGGGAUUUUAAUGAAAUCCUUAGAGCUCAAUAAGUACGGGGGUAGGGGCAUAAAUAAUGUAAAGGUAAAUGCCUUUAAAAGGUGCCUGGACCAUUGUAAUUUGGUUGACCUAGGUUGUAAAGGCUGUAAAUACACUUGGACCAAAAAAAGGUACAAGCACAGAUCCAACCUUAUCCUCGAGAGAUUAGAUAGAUGUUUGGCCAACAACUCUUAGAUUACCAGGUAUCCCAAUGCUUCUGUAACCCACCUGCCUAGGACUAAAUCUGAUCACUGCCCUCUGCAGAUCAGAUUGGAACCUAGCUCUACCUCAGAGAAUAAGAAGACCUUCUGGAUGGAACCCAUGUGGUGUGGGCACCCCACCUUUAGAGACCCAGUCAAAAACACCUGCUUUGAUCUCCCUCAGAAUCUUUCAAACUCCAUUGACCUUCUCCAAAAUGAUGCAAUUGAAUGGAACAAGUCUACUUUUGGCAAUAUCUUCCACAAAAUUAGAAGAAUCCUUGCCAGACUGGAUGGUAUCCAAAGAUCCCCUCCUACCACCAUAGCCACUUUCUCUGAAACCUGGUAGGGCUGGGCAUUCAAUAUUUUGGUUCAAUUUUUUUUUGAUUUUCGAUUCUUGUACAACGUGUACCGAACACCGAACCGAAAUAAUUUAGUUCGAUUUGGUUUAUGUUAUUUCGGUCGGUUUUUGUUAGUUCGGUUUUUGUUCGGUGGCGCCUGGCUGUGUGGAAAGUGGAAAGGUCGGUUGACGGCUGAUCGUUGCUGUGAUGCGUGCUGCUGCAUGCUGGUCGACACCGGUUGCUUCUGUGUUGCGGCUGCCUACUGGUCGACUGGCUGCUGUUGCGUGCUACUGCUGGUCGAAGCUGGUCGCCAAAACUUGGAAGUGGAAACGGUCGCCGGAACUCGGAAGUGGGAACGUCGAUCACUUUUGACCUUUGGGAAGUGGGAACGACGGAUGGUCUGUAAAGUGUACUGUAAAGUGGAAAAGUAGCAAAAGUUUGAAAAGACAAACUUUUGUUUUUAAUUUUUAAUUAUAAUAUUUAUUAUUUAAUAUUAGUAAUUAAUAUAAUAUUAAUAUAUAUUAUAAUAUAAUAUAUUUCGGUAAAUCGAAAUACUGAAUAACACAAAAAUUACAUACCGAAAACCGAACCGAAAUACCAAAAAAAUACAAAAACAAAUACGAAUACCGAAUAGAAAACCAAAAUACCAAAAUAGUUCGGUUCAGUUUUUCGGUGUUUAUGCCCAGCCCUAGAACCUGAAAUCAAGUCUCCUAAAAGACUAUGAUGCCCUCCUCAAAGUGGAAGAAGAAUUCUGGAGAACAAAAUCUAGGAUUGACUGGCUCAGUUAAGGAGAUGCCAACACCAGUUUCUUCCACACUUCCACCAUCAAUAGAAGGAGAAGGAACAAAAUCCUCAACCUUAAAGAUGACAUGGGGAACACCAUAACUGAUCAGACCCACAUCACCUUCCACAUCUUCUCGCAUUUUGUCAAUCUCUUUAAGACUGACCACACCUAUUAGAAGAUAAAGAGCAAGCACCAGGAGGCCACCCAACCCAGGUAGGCACCUUCCCCUUUGGUGAUUUGGACACCCCCAUUAGGGACUCAGAAAUCAUCCAAGCACUACAUUCAUUUAAGCUCACCAAGGCCCCAGGCCUUGAUGGUCUGCAUCCACUUCUAUACCAAAAAUACUGGAAUGAAAUGGGUGAAAAAACAUCCAACUUCUGCAAGGAAGUGUUUGCCACCAGCACUAUGCCCAGCUCCAUAAAUACCACCAUCCUCUGCUUAAUACCAAAAAGCCUGAAUGUUUCUAACAUUAGAAACUUCAAGCCAGUUGGUAUGUACAACACCACCUACAAGCUUGCCCUUCAUCUCCAGAAUCAUUGGCCCUAACCAAACUAGUUUCUUAUCCAAGAGAAGAGUUGCUGACAAUGCUAUCAAUGUCCAAGAGUUCAUCUCCCACUUCAACAAAAUGAAAGGGAAACAUGCUAAUAUGAUCUUGAAGAUUGACCUGGAGAAAACCUUUGACAAGCUUGAGUGUUCCUAAAUCAGAGAUUCCCUCAUUUUCUUCCACUUUCCCACCAAGCUCAUAAACCUCAUCAUGUCAUAUGUUAGCAGUAGCUUUAUUUUCAUCCUGGUAAAUGGGGGAAAAACUAAUUUCUUCCAACCUUAUAAAGGCAUCAGACAAAGUGACCCCAUGUCCCCCUACCUUUACACUAUAUGCAUGGAAAGACUCUCUAAAGGCAUCCAUAAGGAGGUGGGAAGAAAAAAUUGGACCCCUAUUAAAAUCACCACCUCAGGACCCAAAAUCUCACACCUUUUCUUUGUUGAUGACCUCACCUUAUUUGUAAAAGCAAAUGGACUGAACUGCAAUUCCAUUGUUCAAACUUUGAAGGAAUUAUGUUUAGAAUCUGGCCAAAGUAUUAACCCUGAAGUGUCUAAAGUGAUCUUCUCCUCCAACUGUACCACCUAAAAUAUCUCCACCUGCUCCACCAUCCUUGACAUAAAAUGCAGUACCUACUUUGAAAAAUAUUUGGGCUUCCCCAUCUUCCAAACGAAACCUACCAAUAGUGACUUCCAGUUCAUCCUUAACAUUAUGAACACCUAGCUAGCUAGCUGGAAAACCAAACUCAUGAACAUGUCUGGUAGAACUGUUCUGACAAAGGCUUCCCUUAGUAGCAUUCCCAGCCAUGUCAUUCAAUAUAUCCAAAUCCCAGCUAAAAUCAACAAGCUCAUCAAUAGAACUCAAAGAAACUUCAUCUGGGAACAAACACCGAGAAGAAAAGAAUGCACAUGGUCAACUGGAUACUGUCACAAAACACAGAAUUGGGGAAGGACUAGGUAUGCAGAGAAGUGAGUAAAGAACAAAGCAAUUCAUGCUAAUCUAGCAUGGAGGCUAAUAGCCUAUAGGGGUAACUUCUAAUCAACAAGUAUUCCAAACAUGAGUCUGACCGGAGGAGGAACGAGUUUCAAGAAUAUGGAAUUGCAUUAUGGAAGGGUGGAACGAAACCAAAGAUGAACUUAGAUGAGUUGUUAACAAGGGCAACAAAGUCCAUUUUUUCAACCAGAAAUGGAUCCCCCACCAAGACUUUAUUAGAAACAUGAUACAAGGGCCUCUCAAACAGGGUGAAGAAAAGAUGUUAAUCAAAGACAUCAACACUAACGGUACCUGGAAUCUCAAUAACAUCUCCUUCCAAAUCACAGAAGAUAUCAAGGCAAGCAUUGAGGCCAUUAGUAUCAACCCUUACAACCCACGGGAGGAUCGACCCAUCUUGGGCUUAUCAAAGGAUGGUAAAUUUACCACCAACAAUGCUUACAAAUACAUCUAAUCCAGAACCUCUAGAAUCCCUAAAAUUCAUGGGAGAAAUUUUUUUGACUGGAUUUGGAAAAGGGAAAAGGGUAAAAAAUACCCCUCAACUUUGUUUUAUUGGUUGACUUACCCUUACCGUUAAAGCAAAGUUAUUUUUACCCCUGUCGUUACUAAUUUCAUCAUUUGUAUCCCCAUGUAGAAGGAAAGCCCUACAUUGACUAAAAUUUACCCGAUUUUAAUUAAAAUUACCCGAUUAUCUAGUUUAACCCAAAUCCGACCCAACUAACUUAACCCAAACCUUCUUCACCUCUUAUAUUUAAGCAAAAGCUUAAGAACUUGUCCAUCUUUAAAGGUCCAUACUUUCCUAACAAAUCAACAAAACACCCAUCAUCUUCUCCCAAAACCUAUCAUUUUUGAGAACCCAAAUCGGCAAGAACUCAAACCGAAAAGCAAAAAUGAUGCACAUGACCUUUUAUUAAGGUAAAAAAGUGACCCUUUUGUUCAAUUUCUGGAGAACUGAACUCUGUCGCCGUUGCCUCGAGCGUCGUCGUAAAUGCUCAUCUUCUUUACACUUUCUGACCGUCGAUGGUAAGUGGAACUCGGCGAGAUUCGCUAUGACGAUUGUUUUAGGAAUCAAUUUGACAUUGGGUAUAUGCUUACGUUGAUUGUUCGACAUUUUUGUGGCUAUCGUUACGGGCUUGGCGAUCAGAUAUUUGCUAUUUAGGAUCGGUGAAGAUGAUGUCAGCGUUGAUAAUCCAUGUGCUUGAGCUUGAUAUAUAAUAUUAGUUAAUGGAUUCGGUUGUUGUAUUUAUGAAUACUGAUUCCUAAGCUUGAAAAAUCAAAUUGAAACAAUUUUUGAUCUUGUGAAUUUGCUUCGUUAUUUUGGGAGGGUGGAUUCUAAUGAAGAUCAAUUAUGUUAAAGUAAAAAAAAUUGAAUCGACAAGCUAAUGAUCCACAAGAAUAUAUGUUUCAGGGAGGAAGAAGAUGAAGAGGAAAUUAAUUUUGGUAUUUAAUUUGUCGUGAGUUUUGUUUUGCGGGUUGGAUCCAAAUUUGGGUCAAAAAGAUGAAAUCGGGUAAUUUCAAUUGAAAUGGGAUAAUUUUGGUCAAUUUGGGGCUUUUUAUCCAAUUGAGGGGUACAAAUGAUGAAAUUAGUAACGGCAGGGUUAAAAAUAAGUCGAAGGGUAUUUUUGACCCUUUCCCCUUUGGAAAAGGAACUGCCCAAAUAAAAUGAAAACCUGCAUGUGGCUUUCCCACCAUGGAAGGAUCCCAACAUCCCAAUACCUCCAUAACAUUGGCAUGAAUAUCCAACCUAGCUGUCACAUCUGCGACCACCCCAAAGAGGACAUCGACCAUAUAUUUUUCAAAUGCCCCAAAGUUACUGAAUUCUGGGAUGCCAUCUUGAGUAACAACAACUCCACCCAUAAGCUAGAUAGGAGCAUCCUAACCUUAGACUCCAUGCAAGAGAUCUAGCAAAACACUGGCUCAAAGCAAUACAACGCUAUCCUAUCCUGGGAUAUUAUCUUACAUCAGUGCUUCUGGGCUACUGGCUCCAAAGGAAUACCAACACUUUUUUUUUAUAAAAAAAGACAGUAUCCCCUUCGACAACAUGAUGAACCAAGCCACUAAAUACCAGCUCAUCAUAAAGAACAACAACAGGGUCAAGAGAAAUCACUACACUAUCCAGGUUAAAUGAGACCUUUCUGCCAUAAGAAAGUUCAAAUUAAACAAAUAUAGAGCAGUCAAAAACAGCCCAGGCGGCCUAAAAAGUGUCAUAAGAAAUCACAAUGGGGACUGGAAAGUGGGCUUUAUGAGCAAGAAACCACAAAUCGACCCCAUUCUAGCGGAAAUCCGAGCCCUUAGACAAGGGCUGCUCAUAGCAAUCCACCACAAUCUCAUGCCUCUAGACAUCAAUUCUGACUCAACAGAAUUAAUCACAUACUUGGAGCAUAAUAACCACCCUUAUACUAACUUGACUCUCGAAUGCAGGUCGCUAAUAGAGAAGCUGGGAGCAGCACUACCAACACAUAUUCAUGGAGCAAAAUCAGGUGGCGGACAAGCUUAGCAAGGAGGGCCUCAACUGCACCACCUUUGGACAUCCAAUUCCUCCAUUGUUUGGGUAGACAUUCUAGGAACUAUGUAUUUAAGAAAACUUAAUCCUUUAAUUAGUGAUGUAUUAGGCCAUACCACGGCUCCAAAUUCUAUUUGUACUGCCUCCGGCAUCCACUCUAACUCUAUUUAGUUAAUAUGAUUAUCCAGUUUAUAAAAAAAAACAAAAAAAUGAUUCAAAAAGAAAAGGAAAAAUAAGGAAAAGAAGUAGAAAAGGUUGUUAUGCUUCUAUAGUAGUAGAUCGAAAACACACUGAAAAUUUCCUAUUUCAUUCUUUUGAGAGAAAAAACAGAAAAUAAAACAUACUUAAAACUCUCUAUUCAACUAGUCGAUUGAAAGAAGAAAAAAGACUAAAAAUUUCUUAUUUCAUUCAUCUGUAAAAAAAAUCGAUUGAAAACUCUUAAUUCCAUUCGUCAACUGAAAGAAGAAAAAAGAAUGAAAACUCCCUAUUUCAUUCUUCUGAAAAAAGAAGACCUAAUGAAAACUCUAUAUUCCAUUCGUUGACUGAAAGAAGAAAAAAUACUAAAAACUCCAUAUUUCAUUUUUCCGCAAAAAAAAAUCGAUUGAAAACUCUCUUAUUCUAUUCGUCUAUUGAAAGAAGAAAAAAAAAGUAAUUUUUUUCUAUUUCGUUCUUCCGGAAAAAGAAAACUUACUGAAAACUCUUUAUUCAAUUCAUCGACUGAAAAAAGAAAAAGAAAAAGAGCACCGAUGAAGAUGCAGAAAUCUUAGCUCGCACUCGCUUCGUUGCUCUUUCACUGCUACAUUUAGGUCUGUUUUCGUCUAAAAAAUUGGUGAUAUCAUUAGUCGAGCACCAUCUAUUUUUAUUUUCUUGUAUUUGUUGGUUCCAUUGGUUAUUGUUCUGAUUCCUAAUUUAAAAAAAGUUGUUGCUACAUUUGACCAUUUUUAAAUGAAACUUAAUGUUAUAUUGUCGUCCAUUGUUAAGAUUUUUAAAUGAAAAGUUGUUGCUCCAUUGUCGCUCUUUCUUUCUUUAUGCUACAUUUAGAUCAGUUCAUGAAACAACAUCAAAAAAUUUAUAGGCGUACCACAACACAGUGGGUUGUAUAAUUUUCUAUCCACUAUAAUUCAGAUGAGUCAUUAUAUUUCGUACUUGAUAUAUAUGAAUUCUGAUAUAUGAGCCUUGAAAUGGGCUAGCUGUUAAAGAGAAUGAAAUAAAUUAAUCUAACAAGUAAAUGAAAUUGAACGUCAACUGGCUUACUGAGCUUAAAGAACAAAAAA